Long non-coding RNA from Dipodomys spectabilis (banner-tailed kangaroo rat), 193 nucleotides. RefSeq lists it as uncharacterized. Lineage: Eukaryota; Metazoa; Chordata; Mammalia; Rodentia; Heteromyidae. The transcript has 3 exons. The record is from RefSeq and is a predicted model, not a curated record.
UCUAGCUUGUGGUCUACCCAAUAUUGAAGUUAGCUUUCUGAGUGGAAAGAGAAGAACUGAGAAGAUACCACUUCAGUGGGCUGAUAGGUCAGUCUGUUUAAGUGGGAGAAAGGUCUGGGGCCCAAGAGAUGACAGCAGGACUCCCCUGCUGUGGUGUGUGUGGUCACUAAGCUUGUGUACUCUGUGGAAACAA